Molecule: ribosomal RNA, 450 nt
Filed under: uncultured bacterium
Lineage: Bacteria
Description: partial 16S ribosomal RNA
Rfam family: Bacterial small subunit ribosomal RNA
Source: RNAcentral
UAGGGAAUCUUCGGCAAUGGACGAAAGUCUGACCGAGCAACGCCGCGUGAGUGAAGAAGGUUUUCGGAUCGUAAAACUCUGUUGGUAGAGAAGAACGUUGGUGAGAGUGGAAAGCUCAUCAAGUGACGGUAACUACCCAGAAAGGGACGGCUAACUACGUGCCAGCAGCCGCGGUAAUACGUAGGUCCCGAGCGUUGUCCGGAUUUAUUGGGCGUAAAGCGAGCGCAGGUGGUUUAUUAAGUCUGGUGUAAAAGGCAGUGGCUCAACCAUUGUAUGCAUUGGAAACUGGUAGACUUGAGUGCAGGAGAGGAGAGUGGAAUUCCAUGUGUAGCGGUGAAAUGCGUAGAUAUAUGGAGGAACACCGGUGGCGAAAGCGGCUCUCUGGCCUGUAACUGACACUGAGGCUCGAAAGCGUGGGGAGCAAACAGGAUUAGAUAGCCCUGGUAGUCC